Molecule: long non-coding RNA, 235 nt
Organism: Limulus polyphemus (Atlantic horseshoe crab)
Lineage: Eukaryota; Metazoa; Arthropoda; Merostomata; Xiphosura; Limulidae
Exons: 3
Source: RefSeq, a predicted model, not a curated record
CAGGAGUGGCUUCAAAACUACGGGCUUCAGGGUUGUAAUGUAAACCUCCAUUCUCUUGCAACAGAAGUAACAAACAGAAGUGCUAACCUUGGGAAAAGUGCCCAAGUUUCUGAAGCUACACGUUCAGGAACUGAUGAUAAACAGGAUGAGUUAAAUCAACAAUGCCAGAAAGAAAAGGAUCAACCACCAGUAGCCGAGCAAGUCCAGAUAGUUCGUGAAUUAAUCUACCAAAGGA